This is a long non-coding RNA of Xenia sp. Carnegie-2017, 131 nucleotides long. RefSeq lists it as uncharacterized. NCBI's taxonomy places the organism in Eukaryota, Metazoa, Cnidaria, Anthozoa, Malacalcyonacea, Xeniidae. The record is from RefSeq and is a predicted model, not a curated record. The transcript has 3 exons.
AGUACAUGGGGUACAAUGUCUACACUUACACCAACUAAGAGUUUGAAGGCGCUAAGCAUUUGCUUUCUCAAAUUCAGCAUGUAUUUCAUCCUCCGACGAGGACAAGUCGCUCUGCUCACUCUCCUGUUCGG